CACGUAGGGCGCAAGCGUUGUCCGGAAUUAUUGGGCGUAAAGCGUCCGCAGGUGGUUGUACAAGUCUGCUGUUAAAGCGUCCAGCUUAACUGGAUACAGGCAGUGGAAACUGUGCGACUAGAGUUUGGUAGGGGUCACGGGAAUUCCCAGUGUAGCGGUGAAAUGCGUAGAUAUUGGGAAGAACACCAGCGGCGAAAGCGCGUGACUGGGCCUGAACUGACACUCAUGGACGAAAGCUAGGGGAGCGAAAGGG
RNAcentral lists this ribosomal RNA (253 nucleotides) under uncultured bacterium. RNAcentral describes it as "partial 16S ribosomal RNA". It matches the Rfam family "Bacterial small subunit ribosomal RNA", at positions 524 to 776 of the family's 1533-position model. The record is from RNAcentral.